UACCACCACAGGCCAUCAACACCAGACCAAUCGGAAGAAUUACGCUUUCCCAAGAAAGUGGCUUAUUACGAAGUAGACGUCCGUCAAGUUUUCGACGUGCUAAACAAAAUUGUGGCGCUUAGUAAGAUCCAGAUGAUCCGAGACAGAUACAUCUCUCCAGACUCCAGCUACGACACACUUACCAAUAUGUUCCGUUUGAAAAUGAAAGAUGAUGCUAAUAUGCAGGCACAUCUGGCGGAGAUGAUGUACUUGUUGACGAGACCCCAUCGGGUAGAAUACGAAUUCGAGCCUAGGGCCAGCUCUGGAUCCGAUUCAAG
This is a non-coding RNA of Spodoptera litura, 317 nucleotides long. The record is from RefSeq and is a predicted model, not a curated record. Lineage: Eukaryota; Metazoa; Arthropoda; Insecta; Lepidoptera; Noctuidae.